Molecule: non-coding RNA, 240 nt
Filed under: Burkholderiales bacterium
Lineage: Bacteria; Pseudomonadati; Pseudomonadota; Betaproteobacteria; Burkholderiales
Source: RNAcentral
UCGUAAAAUCCGCGGGUUGGUGCUCGCGGUGUGGUUCGCAUGCCGCAGUUCAACGGGAAGCAGGGAGGCCGCCACCGCCAUGGUGGCGCCGAGCCUGCGCUGCCCCCGCAACGGUCAGCGGACGAAUCCCCCAGGAUUCCCUCUCCAGCACGCAGCCACUGGGCGCCUUGAACAAGCGCCUGGGAAGGCGCUGGAGGGCGUUUCGCCAGCCCGGAUACCGGCCAACACGGUGGCCGCGCG